ACUGGAACUUGAAGACAACUUUGAUCUUGUGCUUAUCAUUCCGCCACCUCACUGGACGGAACAUGUUGAAUUAACUUUCUCUCUCUGGCUCUACCGUCGGUGGAGUACAAUGGCGGUCUAGUCAGCAGAGCUCCAUCGCCAGCUGAAUUAACAUUUGGGCAGAAAUUUCCAAAAAUGGGAAAGAGGCCGUACUCUGGUCCGCUGGAAAUGCAGACAAAAACAGAGUGGAAACAGGAGUAGGGGGGAAACGGUCAAAUAAAUAAUAGGAGAAGAGUUAAAAUAAGAGGGGAGAAUGGAGAAGAAGAUGAGGGAAAUGCUUCAGAGGGACAGAGAGAGAAUGAGCAGAUCUACUGGGCUGUUGUGUUGUGCUGUGCUAUGCUUUUUCUUCUUCUUCUUCUUCUUCUUCUUGUCUCUCGCUUUCACCCUUUUUUGAAUGUGUGUGUGACAGCCUUUCAGUUUCUGGAAGGCGAUGACAAGUAAUGUUUCUCAUUUCUGGUUUUAUUUUUUGUUCCUUAUAUUACGAAAAUUAUUAGGGAAAAUAACGAAUGGUUUUGCAGGUUUAAGGUUUCUUUUUAAAGGAAAAGUAAUUAUGUGUAGGUGGAUGGAUAUUAGUGUAGUAAAUAUAGUUGUUGAGUUGAG
This 639-nucleotide long non-coding RNA is filed under the name Linum usitatissimum (flax). Its description in RNAcentral is "long non-coding RNA (LUSI_LNC001955)". The record is from RNAcentral. Lineage: Eukaryota; Viridiplantae; Streptophyta; Magnoliopsida; Malpighiales; Linaceae.